This 463-nucleotide ribosomal RNA is filed under the name Nostoc sp. HG1. RNAcentral describes it as "bacterial SSU rRNA". It matches the Rfam family "Bacterial small subunit ribosomal RNA", at positions 306 to 763 of the family's 1533-position model. Lineage: Bacteria; Bacillati; Cyanobacteriota; Cyanophyceae; Nostocales; Nostocaceae. The record is from RNAcentral.
CCCCACACUGGUACUGAGCACGGACCAGACCUCCUACGGGAGGCAGCAGUAAGGAAUAUUGGUCAAUGGGCGGCAAGGCCGUGAACCAGCCAUGCCGCGUGCAGGAAGACAGCCCUCUGGGUCGUAAACUGCUUUUAUUCGGGAAUAAACCUAUCUACGUGUAGAUAGCUGAAUGUACCGAAGGAAUAAGGAUCGGCUAACUCCGUGCCAGCAGCCGCGGUAAUACGGAGGAUCCAAGCGUUAUCCGGAUUUAUUGGGUUUAAAGGGUGCGUAGGCGGCCUGUUAAGUCAGGGGUGAAAGACGGUAGCUCAACUAUCGCAGUGCCUUUGAUACUGACGGGCUUGAAUGAACUAGAAGUAGGCGGAAUGUGACAAGUAGCGGUGAAAUGCAUAGAUAUGUCACAGAACACCGAUUGCGAAGGCAGCUUACUAUGGUUUUAUUGACGCUGAGGCACGAAAGCGUG